This 1457-nucleotide ribosomal RNA is filed under the name uncultured bacterium. Its description in RNAcentral is "partial 16S ribosomal RNA". It matches the Rfam family "Bacterial small subunit ribosomal RNA". The record is from RNAcentral.
GAUGAACGCUAGCGACAGGCUUAACACAUGCAAGUCGAGGGGCAGCGGGGGUGAUGGCUUGCCAUCACCUGCCGGCGACCGGCGCACGGGUGAGUAACACGUAUGCAACCUGCCCGCCACAGGGGGAUAAGCGGAAGAAAUUCCGUCUAAUACCGCGUGACGCGGCGCCGGGGCAUCCCGGUGCCGCCAAAGGGAUUACCGGUGGCGGAUGGGCAUGCGGCGCAUUAGCUAGUCGGCGGGGUAACGGCCCACCGAGGCGACGAUGCGUAGGGGUUCUGAGAGGAAGGUCCCCCACACUGGUACUGAGACACGGACCAGACUCCUACGGGAGGCAGCAGUGAGGAAUAUUGGUCAAUGGGCGCGAGCCUGAACCAGCCAAGUCGCGUGAGGGAUGACGGUCCUACGGAUUGUAAACCUCUUUUGCCGGGGAGCAAGCGUGCGUUCGUGAACGCGCGUCGAGAGUACCCGGAGAAAAAGCAUCGGCUAACUCCGUGCCAGCAGCCGCGGUAAUACGGAGGAUGCGAGCGUUAUCCGGAUUUAUUGGGUUUAAAGGGUGCGUAGGCGGGAUGCCAAGUCAGCGGUAAAAAUGCGGUGCUCAACGCCGUCGAGCCGUUGAAACUGGCGUUCUUGAGUGGGCGAGAAGUAUGCGGAAUGCGUGGUGUAGCGGUGAAAUGCAUAGAUAUCACGCAGAACUCCGAUUGCGAAGGCAGCAUACCGGCGCCCUACUGACGCUGAGGCACGAAAGCGUGGGUAUCGAACAGGAUUAGAUACCCUGGUAGUCCACGCAGUAAACGAUGAAUGCUAACUGUCCGGUGCGAGUGAGUGCUGGGCGGUACAGCGAAAGCGUUAAGCAUUCCACCUGGGGAGUACGCCGGCAACGGUGAAACUCAAAGGAAUUGACGGGGGCCCGCACAAGCGGAGGAACAUGUGGUUUAAUUCGAUGAUACGCGAGGAACCUUACCCGGGCUCAAACGCAGGAUGACGGAUCCCGAAAGGGGCCUUUCUUCGGACAUUCUGCGAGGUGCUGCAUGGUUGUCGUCAGCUCGUGCCGUGAGGUGUCGGCUUAAGUGCCAUAACGAGCGCAACCCCUGUUCACAGUUGCCAGCAGGUAAAGCUGGGGACUCUGUGGAGACUGCCGGCGCAAGCUGCGAGGAAGGCGGGGAUGACGUCAAAUCAGCACGGCCCUUACGUCCGGGGCGACACACGUGUUACAAUGGCAGGUACAGCGGGAUGCCACGGGGCGACCCGGCGCUGAACCCGAAAACCUGUCUCAGUUCGGAUUGGAGUCUGCAACCCGACUCCAUGAAGCUGGAUUCGCUAGUAAUCGCGCAUCAGCCACGGCGCGGUGAAUACGUUCCCGGGCCUUGUACACACCGCCCGUCAAGCCAUGGAAGCCGGGGGUACCUGAAGUGCGUGACCGCGAGGAGCGCCCUAGGGUAAAACCGGUGACUGGGGCU